AGGAUGAACGCUAGCGACAGGCUUAACACAUGCAAGUCGAGGGGCAGCAUAAAAGUAGCAAUACGUUGGUGGCGACCGGCGCACGGGUGAGUAACGCGUAUGCGAACCUACCUAUCGAAGAGGGGAAUAACCCGGCGAAAGUCGGACUAAUACCGCAUAAAACAGGGACACCGCAUGGUGAUAUUUGUUAAAGAAAUUCGCUGAUAGAUGGGCAUGCGUUCCAUUAGGUAGUUGGUGAGGUAACGGCUCACCAAGCCGACGAUGGAUAGGGGAACUGAGAGGUUGGUCCCCCACACUGGUACUGAGACACGGACCAGACUCCUACGGGAGGCAGCAGUGAGGAAUAUUGGUCAAUGGGCGAGAGCCUGAACCAGCCAAGUCGCGUGAAGGAAGAAGGAUCUAUGGUUCGUAAACUUCUUUUGCAGGGGAAUAAAGUGCAGGACGUGUCCUGUUUUGUAUGUACCCUGAGAAUAAGGAUCGGCUAACUCCGUGCCAGCCGCCGC
Molecule: ribosomal RNA, 503 nt
Filed under: uncultured bacterium
Lineage: Bacteria
Description: bacterial SSU rRNA
Rfam family: Bacterial small subunit ribosomal RNA
Source: RNAcentral